AUGCAGUCGAGGGGCAGCGAGGGCGUAGCAAUACGCCUGUCGGCGACCGGCGCACUGGUGAGUAACACGUAUGCGACCUGCCCCCUACAGGGGUAUAACCCGUAGAAAUGCGGACUAAUCCCCCAUAGUCCUGGGUGCUGCAUGGCAUUCAGGGGAAAGGUCAGCCGGUAGGGGAUGGGCACGCGGCGCAUUAGCUAGUUGGCGGGGCAACGGCCCACCAAGGCGACGAUGCGUAGGGGUUCUGAGAGGAAGGUCCCCCACACUGGUACUGAGACACGGACCAGACUCCUACGGGAGGCAGCAGUGAGGAAUAUUGGUCAAUGGGCGCAGGCCUGAACCAGCCAAGUCGCGUGAGGGAAGACGGUCCUACGGAUUGUAAACCUCUUUUGUCGGGGAGUAACGUGCGGGACGGGUCCCGUAUUGAGAGUACCCGAAGAAAAAGCAUCGGCUAACUCCGUGCCAGCAGCCGCGGUAAUACGGAGGAUGCGAGCGUUAUCCGGAUUUAUUGGGUUUAAAGGGUGCGCAGGCGGCGCGCCAAGUCAGCGGUCAAAGUUCCGGGCUCAACCCGGUGUCGCCGUUGAAACUGGCGUGCUCGAGUGCGUGCGAGGAAGGCGGAAUGCGUUGUGUAGCGGUGAAAUGCAUAGAUAUGACGCAGAACUCCGAUUGCGAAGGCAGCUUUCCAGCGCGCUACUGACGCUGAGGCACGAAAGCGUGGGGAUCGAACAGGAUUAGAUACCCUGGUAGUCCACGCAGUAAACGAUGACUACUAGCUUUCCGGGGCGACUGGGCCCUGGGAGGCACAGCGAAAGCGUUAAGUAGUCCACCUGGGGAGUACGCC
Molecule: ribosomal RNA, 838 nt
Filed under: uncultured bacterium
Lineage: Bacteria
Description: bacterial SSU rRNA
Rfam family: Bacterial small subunit ribosomal RNA
Source: RNAcentral